UAGGGAAUAUUAGUAAUGGGCGCAAGCCUGAACUAGCAACGCCGCGUGUGCGAAGAAGGCCUUCGGGUUGUAAAGCACUUUUUGAGAGGAUGAGGAAGGACGGUACUCUCAGAAUAAGUCUCGGCUAACUACGUGCCAGCAGCCGCGGUAACACGUAGGAGGCGAACGUUAUCCGGAUUUACUGGGCGUAAAGCGCGUGUAGGUGGUUUGGUAAGUAGGGCGUGAAAGCUCCUGGCUCAACUGGGAGAGGCCGUUCUAAACUGCCAAGCUAGAGGAUGGUAGAGGGAGGUGGAAUUCCGGGUGUAGCGGUGGAAUGCGCAGAUAUCCGGAGGAACACCAGUGGCGAAGGCGGCCUCCUGGGCCGCUCCUGACACUCAGACGCGAAAGCUAGGGUAGCAAACGG
This 403-nucleotide ribosomal RNA is filed under the name uncultured bacterium. RNAcentral describes it as "bacterial SSU rRNA". It matches the Rfam family "Bacterial small subunit ribosomal RNA", at positions 355 to 775 of the family's 1533-position model. The record is from RNAcentral.